CCUACGGGUGGCUGCAGUGGGGAAUAUUGGACAAUGGGCGAAAGCCUGAUCCAGCCAUGCCGCGUGUGUGAAGAAGGCCUUCGGGUUGUAAAGCACUUUCAGUGGGGAAGAAAGCCUUGGGGCUAAUACCCUCGAGGAAGGACAUCACCCACAGAAGAAGCACCGGCUAACUCCGUGCCAGCAGCCGCGGUAAUACGGAGGGUGCGAGCGUUAAUCGGAAUUACUGGGCGUAAAGCGCGCGUAGGCGGUCUGAUAAGCCGGUUGUGAAAGCCCCGGGCUCAACCUGGGAACGGCAUCCGGAACUGUCAGGCUAGAGUGCAGGAGAGGAAGGUAGAAUUCCCGGUGUAGCGGUGAAAUGCGUAGAGAUCGGGAGGAAUACCAGUGGCGAAGGCGGCCUUCUGGACUGACACUGACGCUGAGGUGCGAAAGCGUGGGGAGCAAACAGGAUUAGAUACCCCAGUAGUC
RNAcentral lists this ribosomal RNA (465 nucleotides) under Vreelandella stevensii. Its description in RNAcentral is "partial 16S ribosomal RNA". It matches the Rfam family "Bacterial small subunit ribosomal RNA", at positions 338 to 795 of the family's 1533-position model. The record is from RNAcentral. Lineage: Bacteria; Pseudomonadati; Pseudomonadota; Gammaproteobacteria; Oceanospirillales; Halomonadaceae.